ACAAAGGCCCUUUUCAGGGCCGCCAUAUUCUCAUCAAAAGAGCCCA
Molecule: non-coding RNA, 46 nt
Organism: Dipodomys ordii (Ord's kangaroo rat)
Lineage: Eukaryota; Metazoa; Chordata; Mammalia; Rodentia; Heteromyidae
Source: Rfam